Molecule: ribosomal RNA, 161 nt
Filed under: uncultured Trichoderma
Lineage: Eukaryota; Fungi; Ascomycota; Sordariomycetes; Hypocreales; Hypocreaceae
Description: 5.8S ribosomal RNA
Rfam family: 5.8S ribosomal RNA
About the family: 5.8S ribosomal RNA (5.8S rRNA) is a component of the large subunit of the eukaryotic ribosome. It is transcribed by RNA polymerase I as part of the 45S precursor that also contains 18S and 28S rRNA.
Source: RNAcentral
ACUUUCAACAACGGAUCUCUUGGUUCUGGCAUCGAUGAAGAACGCAGCGAAAUGCGAUAAGUAAUGUGAAUUGCAGAAUUCAGUAAUCAUCGAAUCUUUGAACGCACAUUGCGCCCGCCAGUAUUCUGGCGGGCAUGCCUGUCCGAGCGUCAUUUCAACCC